RNAcentral lists this transfer RNA (77 nucleotides) under Paracoccaceae bacterium. RNAcentral's name for it is "Rhodobacteraceae bacterium tRNA-Met". It matches the Rfam family "tRNA". From Rfam's summary of the family: Transfer RNA (tRNA) molecules are approximately 80 nucleotides in length. Their secondary structure includes four short double-helical elements and three loops (D, anti-codon, and T loops). Further hydrogen bonds mediate the characteristic L-shaped molecular structure. tRNAs have two regions of fundamental functional importance: the anti-codon, which is responsible for specific mRNA codon recognition, and the 3' end, to which the tRNAs corresponding amino acid is attached (by aminoacyl-tRNA synthetases). tRNAs cope with the degeneracy of the genetic code in two manners: having more than one tRNA (with a specific anti-codon) for a particular amino acid; and 'wobble' base-pairing, i.e. permitting non-standard base-pairing at the 3rd anti-codon position. Lineage: Bacteria; Pseudomonadati; Pseudomonadota; Alphaproteobacteria; Rhodobacterales; Paracoccaceae. The record is from RNAcentral. RNAcentral also lists the same sequence under 10 other names.
GGACCCGUAGCUCAGUUGGUUAGAGCGCUCGGCUCAUAACCGAGUGGUCAUCGGUUCAAAUCCGGUCGGGUCCACCA